GAGAAACCACCCCUUGGUCACACAAAUGGUAGAAAAAUGGCUUGACCGCUACAGACAGAUCCGGCCUUGUACAUCCCUGUCUGAUGGAGAGGAAGAUGAGGAUGAUGAGGAUGAAUGACAACAAACCUAAGGAAAGAAAAAGACCAAGGCAUCAGGUCUGAGGUGGCCUCAAAGUUAGUGUGGUAUCCUAAACAGAAUAUGCAGCAUGGAGCGAGCCAUACCCUGCCGGAUCUGCUCCCAAGUUAUCUUUCUGUUCCACACUCACAGGAGAGAAUUGACUGCAUCUGCAUGAGGAGAUGGAGAACUUUGGUUGAACUACAGUUUGUAAAAAAGAAAAAAAAAAAAAAAAAAGAAAAGAAAAAAAAAGAAAAAAGAAAAAAAAUAACCUAAUUUUAUUGACAGAACUUUUUUUUCCUUUCAAAUUGUAAAUCUGUCUAUGAAUGUAACGCAUGUGGUUGUUUGAGAAGUUGUGUACUAGGAAAAGUGCACCAGCAUCUUCAUGUUACUGAGACCAUUUUCCCAGCAUGGGCACUCAUAAACAGCACAUAGCAGACAGACCAGUGAGAUGCUCUCUCUCUCAUUAGCACCUGACAUCCUGCUCCCACCACACCAGACCCAUUUCCCAUUGUUUUAGAGAUUUGGAAACUUUGUACAAAUUAUCCACGGCAAGAUAAAAAUAAACAAGCCUUUAUUUUAUUAAUAAUUUAGUUCCUGUUGUGCCCAAUAAAAG
RNAcentral lists this long non-coding RNA (730 nucleotides) under Mus musculus (house mouse). RNAcentral describes it as "long non-coding RNA chr7:132983833-132984563". Lineage: Eukaryota; Metazoa; Chordata; Mammalia; Rodentia; Muridae. The record is from RNAcentral.